NUCCAGCUGACGAGUCCCAAAUAGGACGAAACGCGCAUCCUGGAU
This 45-nucleotide non-coding RNA is filed under the name Trichobilharzia regenti. Lineage: Eukaryota; Metazoa; Platyhelminthes; Trematoda; Strigeidida; Schistosomatidae. The record is from RNAcentral.